GGCGGCAUAGCUCAGUUGGCUAGAGCAUUCGGUUCAUACCCGAAGCGUCAUUGGUUCGACUCCAAUUGCCGCUACCA
Molecule: transfer RNA, 77 nt
Filed under: Oscillospiraceae bacterium
Lineage: Bacteria; Bacillati; Bacillota; Clostridia; Eubacteriales; Oscillospiraceae
Description: tRNA-Met
Rfam family: tRNA
About the family: Transfer RNA (tRNA) molecules are approximately 80 nucleotides in length.
Source: RNAcentral